AUGCCGUCCCACAGAUCAGCAGCUGCUUCUCUACUGGCAGCAGUAUGGCUCUGCCUCGGCGUAGCGCUGCUUGGGGUUGGAGCAGCUCCGCCUAGGCCUAGCAGCAGUUGCCAGAGAGACUGCGGCGGCGUGGACAUCCCUUACCCGUUCGGCAUCGUCGACUCGCCCGGCGACAGCAGCAGCGACUGCGCCAUGCCCGGGUUCGGCCUGACCUGCCACGAGACCGAUGUGAAUGGCGGGCGCCGCACGCCGUUUUAUUACGACGUGGAGGUCGUCGACGUCUCGCUGCAGCAAGGCCAGGCCAGGAUGCAGAAUCAUAUCUCCUCCUACUGCUACAACGCCGCCACUCAGGGCAUGGACGCCAGCGAGUGGCGCCUCAACUUCACCGGCACGCCCUACAGGUUCGCCGACACCAACAAGUUCACCGUCAUCGGCUGCCAAACGCUGGCCUACAUCGAGGGCGCGCACACCCACGAGUACACCAGCGGCUGCGUGGCCAUGUGCCGAGCAGAAAGCGACGGCGAUGCGAGGUCGGCCCUCAGCAACGACUCCUGCUCCGGGAUUGGGUGCUGCCAGACCGCCAUCCCCAGGGGCCUGCAGUACGAAGUGGAGUUCGACUCCGGCUUCAACACCACCAAGAUCCACAACGUCAGCCGCUGCAGCUACGCCGUUCUCAUGGACGCCUCAAACUUCACCUUCCAAACAACCUACGCGACCUCACCGAGGUUCAACACCACCUACGGCGGAGUCGGAGUGGCGCCGCUGGUGGUGGACUGGGUUGUCGGAAACCAGACGUGCGACGUGGCGCGCAAGGAUCCCUCCUCCUACGCCUGCCUCGGCGACCACAGCGAGUGCUUCGACUCGCUCAAUGGACCAGGCUACAUCUGCAACUGCUCCAAGGGCUUCCAAGGCAAUCCUUACCUGCAAGAUCCGGAGCAAGGAUGCAAAGAUAUUAACGAGUGCACAGACCUGGCAAAAUACCCUUGCUCUGUACCUGGAACUUGCAAAAAUUUGCCCGGUGGAUUCAAUUGUCGUUGCCCCAAGCAUACCAAAGGCGACGCCCAGAAUGGGACAUGCGAGAGAAACCACACACUUGGUCUUGGAGAAAAAUUCGGUAUAUGAGUUUUUGGCGUUAUUCUGGUUGGCCUUGUUUGUAUCCUUGCAAUAGAAAUUACCCGUCACAAAAGGAGUAUCAAGAGACAAGCGCUGAUCCGACAGAGUGAUGAAUACUAUCAACAGCACGGGUAACAGAUACUAUCAGAAAUUAUGAGAGUAGAGCGUAACAUUGGGUUCACCGUCUAUGCCAGAGAAGAGAUCGAGGCAGCAACAAACGGGUUCGACAAGGAGAACAUCAUCGGGGAAGGAGGGCAGGGCACCGUGUACAAGGCGGUCCUCGACGUCGACGGCAAGGACACGCUUGUGGCGGUAAAAAGAUGCAAGGAGGUCGAUGAGAGCAGGACGAAGGACUUUGUGCAGGAGCUGGUGAUACUCUGCCGUGUCGACCAUCCCAACAUCGUCAAGCUCCUGGGUUGCUGCCUGCAGUUCGAGGUGCCCAUCCUGGUGUACGAGUACGUGAAGAACAAAACCCUGCAGGAGCUAUUGUACAGCCAACCGACCUCGUGUCGCGCCACCCUGGGGACCCGUCUGAGGGUCGCCGCGCAGUCCGCCGGAGCACUGGCGUACCUGCACUCGCUAGUGCACCCGAUACUCCACGGCGACGUGAAGCCCGCCAACAUCCUUCUCAGCGACGGAUGGGUCGCCAAGGUGUCUGACUUCGGCUGCUCCACCAUCGAUGAGAAGACCCAGGUGGUGGCCAGAGGCACAGCGGGCUACGUUGACCCAGAGUACCUGCUUGAGUACCAGCUCACCCACAAGAACGACGUCUACAGCUUUGGGGUCCUCCUUCUGGAGCUCCUAACCAGGAAGAAGCCGCUGUCAAAGCAACGAAAGAGCCUCAUGGUGAUGGUUCAAGAGUCUAUGGGAGAUGGCACGCUCCAUCAACUCUUUGACAAGGAAAUAGUCGAUGAUGCUAGCAUGGGAGUGGCCGUUCAGGCUGCGGAGCUAGCGACUCGAUGCUUAGUUAUGCCGGGAAACAGGAGACCGGCGAUGAGGUGCGUUGCUGAGGAGCUCCAGCAAUUGGCAGACCAAGUGCAGCAGCCAUUGGUUUUGGAGUGCCAUAGCCUCACUAUCAAAGAUAUGGAGAGCUCCAUGUCAUCUGAGAGUGACACCACUGGGGUUUUCAGCCUUGAAAAGAAAGCCGCAUUGAGCAUAGAAUUCGCUAGAUGA
RNAcentral lists this ribosomal RNA (2286 nucleotides) under Triticum aestivum (bread wheat). RNAcentral describes it as "partial small subunit ribosomal RNA". The record is from RNAcentral. Lineage: Eukaryota; Viridiplantae; Streptophyta; Magnoliopsida; Poales; Poaceae.